CUGAAAUUCGCCUUCAUGAAGCCGGAAUUGCUAGUAAUGGCAGGUCAGCAUACUGCCGUGAAUACGUUCCCGGGCCUUGUACACACCGCCCGUCACACCAUGAGAGUUGGGAAUACCCGAAGCCUGUGAGCUAACGUUAAGAGGCAGCAGUCGAAGGUAGAAUCAAUGAUUGGGGUGAAGUCGUAACAAGGUACC
Molecule: ribosomal RNA, 195 nt
Filed under: uncultured bacterium
Lineage: Bacteria
Description: partial 16S ribosomal RNA
Rfam family: Bacterial small subunit ribosomal RNA
Source: RNAcentral